Equus caballus (horse) is the source of this 1610-nucleotide long non-coding RNA. NCBI's taxonomy places the organism in Eukaryota, Metazoa, Chordata, Mammalia, Perissodactyla, Equidae. The record is from Ensembl.
GUUUCAGUCUGUGCUGCUUCUCAUUUGCAGUUUUUCUCUUUUUCCCUAUCACUGUUCUAAUUCCUUUAACCUAUUCAGUUUUUCUAAUAAAUUAUUCCUUCUCCAAAUAUGAGAUUAUGUUUGUAAAAAGAAUAAUAUUUACUGCUAAGAUACUUGAAUUCAUUGGAAUAGUAGGACUGCAGAUCUAAGAAAACCCUUAUAUGAUAAACGCUAAUUUCCGUUUCUUGCCCCUCUCCACCAUGACCCCAACAGGGUCCACAGCAGAUUGGUGAGAGGUUCAGAGCUCCAUUGCCCCUCCCACAGCCAAUUCCAAUUCUCUUUUUAGACUUUGCAAAGGAGGCAUGAGGGCUCCAUGGACUCCUGGAUUUCAGUAAGACCUCCCAGCUCUGUGUGUUCCCGAUAAGUCUGCCUCCCUAACACAGGCUUAAGGGAAGGAAGCCCAGAGAGCUCAGACCUCUUGCUGGCAGUUAUCAGAAAAUCCCUACUGGAAGUGAUGAUGCUGAUGAGAAUGGUCAUUAACAUUUUACAGCACUUUCCAGUCGAUAAUGCCGUUUCUCAAAAUGAAGCUCAUUUGAUUUUCACAAGGUCUCUAUAAGGUAUCUUCAUUUCCCGAACUCCUUUAUUUAUCAUUGCCUAUACUUCUAUCAGUGGUUGUUUAUUAGGGAUGUAUGUCCAAGCCACCUGGGAUGCUAAUUCAGGAAGUGGGUCUGGGAUUAGGCCAGACUCCUUUUCUAAUCUUCUCCAUUUUAACACGCACCACCAGGAUCAGCUUGUAUGAAACAUUUUAUAUGCUGUUUUGCAUAUAUUUGUGUUCAAGUUUGGUUUUCCCAGCUAGGUAACAGUUAUUAAAUGAAUAAUAGGGCUAAUCAAAACAAAACAGAUCUGUAAAAUAGGAUUCUUAGAAAGUAAAACUUGAUAUUAAAAUUUUACAAAAAACUUCCAUUUGUCCAGAGUUUAAUUCAAUUCAGUUAAUUUGACAACUUUUAAAAAAGUACUAUGUAUUAAGUGUUGCAAAGCUUCCAAGCUGAGUAAAACAUGGUCCUUGUCCUCAAAGAACUGGCAAUGUGAAAUGUGAGAUAAAAAAAGCAGAAUCUAAUCACAAAAGGAAAUUCUUAGGUUAAUUGAGAAUUAUUACAGUUACCAUAAAGAGGCUAUCAGUGGCUGAAGAAGUAAGAAUGCAGUAUAAUAUACCUGAUACCCAAAACCCACUGUAUGACUUACAAUAUCCUUUGGAUGCCUAUUGAAGAAGUAUGAGCUCUCCCUCUCCUCUAAUGUGCUAGAAAUCUGGAGAGCCUGUCUUUUGUGGGAGAGAACCAGACACACUAAAUAUGGGAAAAUAAAAUAGCAUCCAAGGACAGUGCAGAUUGCAAAGAAGGGAAGGCCUGAGGCAGGUUUAAGUAGCCAAUUCGGGGACAGAAAACUAGAAAAACAAGUUAAUAGAAAAUGGGAGAAAACUGGGGAUUAAUUCUGGAUCUCAGAAUCGUAUGGCUUUGCUCAGGUUUCUGUGUAGUCCCAGGAAAUGUUUGCAGGCAAUAUUCUAUGUGCAUAUAAAGGGGCUGUGACAGAUGGACAACUCAGAAAUAACUGCAAAAAUAUUAGGGAAUGUUAUA